This 497-nucleotide ribosomal RNA is filed under the name uncultured bacterium. Its description in RNAcentral is "partial 16S ribosomal RNA". It matches the Rfam family "Bacterial small subunit ribosomal RNA", at positions 28 to 507 of the family's 1533-position model. The record is from RNAcentral.
GAUGAACGCUGGCGGCGUGCCUAAUACAUGCAAGUCGAGCGAACAGAUGAGGAGCUUGCUCCUCUGACGUUAGCGGCGGACGGGUGAGUAACACGUGGAUAACCUACCUAUAAGACUGGGAUAACUUCGGGAAACCGGAGCUAAUACCGGAUAAUAUAUUGAACCACAUGGUUCAAUAGUGAAAGACGGUUUUGCUGUCACUUAUAGAUGGAUCCGCGCCGCAUUAGCUAGUUGGUAAGGUAACGGCUUACCAAGGCAACGAUGCGUAGCCGACCUGAGAGGGUGAUCGGCCACACUGGAACUGAGACACGGUCCAGACUCCUACGGGAGGCAGCAGUAGGGAAUCUUCCGCAAUGGGCGAAAGCCUGACGGAGCAACGCCGCGUGAGUGAUGAAGGUCUUCGGAUCGUAAAACUCUGUUAUUAGGGAAGAACAAAUGUGUAAGUAACUAUGCACGGCUUGACGGUACCUAAUCAGAAAGCCACGGCUAACUACGUG